Molecule: ribosomal RNA, 440 nt
Filed under: uncultured bacterium
Lineage: Bacteria
Description: partial 16S ribosomal RNA
Rfam family: Bacterial small subunit ribosomal RNA
Source: RNAcentral
CCUACGGGCGGCAGCAGUGGGGAAUAUUGCACAAUGGGGGAAACCCUGAUGCAGCGACGCCGCGUGAGUGAAGACGUAUUUCGGUAUGUUAAGCUCUAUCAGCAGGGAAGAAAAUGACGGUACCUGACUACUAAGCCCCGGCUAACUACGUGCCAGCAGCCGCGGUAAUACGUACGGGGCAAGCGUUACCCGGAUUUACUGGGUGUAAAGGGAGCUUACACGGGCAUACAAGUCAGAAGUGAAAGCCCAGGGCUCAACCCUGGGACUUCCUUUGAAACUGCCGGGCUGGAGUGCACGAGAGGUAAGCGGAAUUCGUAGUGUAGCGGUGAAAUGCGUAGAUAUUAGGAGGAACACCAGUGGCGAAGGCGGCUUACUGGACUGUAACUGACGUUGAGGCUCGAAAGCGUGGGGAGCAAACAGGAUUAGAUACCCGUGUAGUC